AUACGGAGGGGGUUAGCGUUGUUCGGAAUUACUGGGCGUAAAGCGCACGUAGGCGGACUGGAAAGUUGGGGGUGAAAUCCCGGGGCUCAACCCCGGAACUGCCUCCAAAACCUCCAAUCUAGAGAUCGAGAGAGGUGAGUGGAAUUCCAAGUGUAGAGGUGAAAUUCGUAGAUAUUUGGAGGAACACCAGUGGCGAAGGCGGCUCACUGGCUCGAUCCUGACGCUGAGGUGCGAAAGCGUGGGGAGCAAACAGGAUUAGAUACCCUAGUAGUCC
RNAcentral lists this ribosomal RNA (274 nucleotides) under uncultured bacterium. Its description in RNAcentral is "partial 16S ribosomal RNA". It matches the Rfam family "Bacterial small subunit ribosomal RNA", at positions 523 to 796 of the family's 1533-position model. The record is from RNAcentral.